UCGGCGCAGCCAGGGCCUUGCUGAUUCUAUGUGUGUAUAAACAGGGAACUUCAGAGACAGAAUGGAGAAGGAAGAUGGAAAGAACUAAGACAGAACGAUGAGAGAAGAGCAGAAGAAGGGACAGAGAGGAGCCAAGUAUGAGAACAGAAAAGAAGCCGUAUUAAUUUCUUCGCCACUGGUCGUGUCUAUUCUGGACCCUGGGAGAAAUCUCCACUGGCAGGUACUGGUGCACACAUGCACACAGCAAAGAAGAUGUUGGUUCCCGUGUUUCUGAGUUUGCUCAUUUCGUCUUUUGUCUGAAGACACACAGUCCUUACAGCCAAAUACCACAUUCAAAUAUUGCCAGGAUGGCUGAUGGCUGAUCGAGCGGAGAGCUCAUUCUCCUUUGGUCGGAGUGGUCGUCUGUCCGAAUUACAGCUGUGUUUAGCUUCCUGGUGAUAGUGCUGUGUUCUGUUCCCUUCAUCACUGCUGAUUGAUUGAUUGAUUGAUUGGGAUGAUUUUUGGUUUGGUUUGGUUUUGUGUGUCAAAAAGCUACAGGCAAAAAAGUCAUAAAUGUGCCACCCCUAGUACCCCAUCUAUCCUGAUGGUUCUGCACAUCCCCGCUGGUGGCCAGCCUCAUUCCUUUCUGAGUUAUGCUUUGGCAUGACAUUUUAUAGGAGUGAGUAGGUUCAUGUCUCGUGUCUCUUUCCGUUCUUCCGUAUUCUUAUUCAGUAGGCUCCACGGCCAGUAGUGUGCAUGCUCUUUCCUGCUUUGCUUUCUCCACUUAACACUUUGUCUUAGACUUCACUUGAAGUUUUGAUAGGGGCGGGGUGG
This is a long non-coding RNA of Onychomys torridus (southern grasshopper mouse), 813 nucleotides long. RefSeq lists it as uncharacterized. The transcript has 3 exons. The record is from RefSeq and is a predicted model, not a curated record. NCBI's taxonomy places the organism in Eukaryota, Metazoa, Chordata, Mammalia, Rodentia, Cricetidae.